AUACGUAGGGGGCGAGCGUUGUCCGGAAUGAUUGGGCGUAAAGGGCGCGUAGGCGGCCCGGUAAGUCUGGAGUGAAAGUCCUGUUUUUAAGAUGGGAAUUGCUUUGGAUACUGUCGGGCUUGAGUGCAGGAGAGGUAAGUGGAAUUCCCAGUGUAGCGGUGAAAUGCGUAGAGAUUGGGAGGAACACCAGUGGCGAAGGCGACUUACUGGACUGUAACUGACGCUGAGGCGCGAAAGUGUGGAGCAAACAGGAUUAGAUCCCCUGGUAGUCCACACUGUAAACGAUGAAUGCUAGGUGUAGGGGGUAUCGACCCCUUCUGUGCCGCAGUCAACACAAUAAGCAUUCCGCCUGGGGAGUACGGCCGCAAGGUUGAAACUCAAAGGAAUUGACGGGG
RNAcentral lists this ribosomal RNA (395 nucleotides) under uncultured bacterium. Its description in RNAcentral is "partial 16S ribosomal RNA". It matches the Rfam family "Bacterial small subunit ribosomal RNA", at positions 523 to 918 of the family's 1533-position model. The record is from RNAcentral.